AAUGAAACAAAUUUUGCACAGCAUGAAAUUAUUCCUGCCACGUACGGCGUUCGGUGGCAGAUUUUUGAGUUUGGACCACAAACAAGGCUCGGCAGCACGGAGAGGAGGGGGCGGGGAGGAAAACACCACCAAAGGAUGCCCCUGAUGUUGCUGAUCUCUUACUCCUGCCCUACUGGUGAGGUUCAGGAUGGAAACGCUUUUAUGGCUGAGUUGGACAGUGCCUCCAGAAGAGCCAAGGACUCCAGGCCAGCACUGACUCAGGACAGUCUCCGCUGUUGGCUGUGCUAGGACCCAUCUUUCAUAAAGAGUUUGGAGGCACGUGAACAAUAUUGUUGUUUACAUUCUAUUCUGCAG
RNAcentral lists this long non-coding RNA (354 nucleotides) under Gallus gallus (chicken). Its description in RNAcentral is "lncRNA (ENSGALG00010020380.1)". The record is from RNAcentral. Lineage: Eukaryota; Metazoa; Chordata; Aves; Galliformes; Phasianidae.